RNAcentral lists this ribosomal RNA (1698 nucleotides) under Setipinna taty (scaly hairfin anchovy). RNAcentral's name for it is "16S ribosomal RNA". It matches the Rfam family "Bacterial large subunit ribosomal RNA". The record is from RNAcentral. Lineage: Eukaryota; Metazoa; Chordata; Actinopteri; Clupeiformes; Engraulidae.
GCAAGAAAGCUAGCUCAAACACCUUAAUAAAAUUAACAAUUUAUUUAAUUACUUAUAUAGUUAAACACCAACAAAACAAAUCAUUUGACCACCCCAGUACGGGCGACAAAAAAGGACACUAAUGAAGCCAUAGAUAAAGUACCGCAAGGGAAAGCUGAAAAAGAAAUGAAAAAACCCAUUAAAGCACAAAAAAGCAGAGAACCCCCCUCGUACCUUUUGCAUCAUGAUUCAGCCAGUAAAAUAUAUGCAAAGAGACCUCUAGUUUAUAACCCCGAAACCCGACGAGCUACUCCGAGACAGCCUAUACAGGGCCAACCCGUCUCUGUAGCAAAAGAGUGGGAAGAUCUCCGAGUAGUAGCAAAAGACCUACCGAGCCGGGUUAUAGCUGGUUGCCCAAUAAAUGAAUAAAAGUUCAGCCCCGUUAAGCCCUACUCACAACAGUCAUACACCAAAAGACGAAGAGCUACUAGACGGGAGUUAAUCAGAGGAGGUACAGCUCCCCUGAUUAAGGAUACAACCUUAAAAGAAGAUUAAGGAAUAUAGUUAAAUAAGGCCACAGGUCUCAGUGGGCCUAAAAGCAGCCAUCUGAUUCGAAAGCGUUAAAGCUCAGACCUUUACUAAGCCUAUUAUCUUAUCAAACCACUCCAAAAUCCCUUUAUACACUGGGCCUCUCUAUGUACCCAUAGAAGAGAUUAUGCUGAAAUGAGUAACAAGAAGAAUGAACUUCUCCCAGCACAAGUGUAAAUCGAAUUGGACCCACCACCGACAAUUAACGAACCCAAUAAAAGAGGGCCAUACACCACCGCCACCAAAAACCAAGAAAACCAUGUUAACCAAAUCGUUACCCCCACACAGGAGUGCUCAACCAAGGAAAGACUAAAAGGAAGAAAAGGAACUCGGCAAACCCAAACCCCGCCUGUUUACCAAAAACAUCGCCUCUUGCCCAUACCAGUAUAAGAGGUCCCACCUGCCCUGUGACCAAAAGUUUAACGGCCGCGGUAUCCUAACCGUGCGAAGGUAGCGCAAUCAAUUGCCUUUUAAAUGAAGGCCUGUAUGAAUGGUAUUACGAGGGUUUAACUGUCUCUUUUCCCAAGUCAGUUAAAUUGAUCCGUCCGUGCAGAAGCGGACAUAAAAAUACAAGACGAGAAGACCCUAUGGAGCUUUAGACACUAACCAACUUAUGAAAAGCAACACGAACAUAAACGUGACACAAACACCCAUAAAACUGGUAUAACUGUCUUAGGUUGGGGCGACCACGGGAGAAAACAAAGCUCCCAAGCAGACCAGGGACACCCUGAAACCAAGAGUUACAACUCUAAGCCACAAAAACUUUGACUGUAAUGAUCCGGCCACAGCCGAUUAACGGACCAAGUUACCCUAGGGAUAACAGCGCAAUCCCCUCCCAGAGUCCAUAUCGACAAGGGGGUUUACGACCUCGAUGUUGGAUCAGGACAUCCUAAUGGUGCAGCCGCUAUUAAGGGUUCGUUUGUUCAACGAUUAAAGUCCUACGUGAUCUGAGUUCAGACCGGAGUAAUCCAGGUCGGUUUCUAUCUGUAAAACGACCACCCCUAGUACGAAAGGACCGGGGUGGAAAGGCCUAUGCUAAAAGCAAGCCUUCCAUCUACCUGCUGAAAACAACUAAAGCAGACAAAGAUGGGUAAUCCGGGGCCCAAGAAAAGGGCCACCCAUAUUAUUCGC